RNAcentral lists this long non-coding RNA (244 nucleotides) under Mustela putorius furo (domestic ferret). RNAcentral describes it as "lncRNA (ENSMPUG00000026049.1)". Lineage: Eukaryota; Metazoa; Chordata; Mammalia; Carnivora; Mustelidae. The record is from RNAcentral.
CACACCUGCCCCCACAUGAUCCUCCCUCCCGUCUGUGCUCAUGGAUGAACUGCUGAUGCUCCCAGUUAAGGCCACCCUCUUCACUUGGGUCCUGGAUACCACCCCCUCUCGCUUACUCUCCGACGGUACAAGAGCCCACAGGUUGAGGGGGAAGCCCAAGCUGCCCACAGAAAAGCCUAUAUGGAGAAAAACCAACAACCAGCACCACCUUACGUGCAGUAUGACUGAACCACUUGGGAAGUAG